Patella vulgata (common limpet) is the source of this 194-nucleotide long non-coding RNA. RefSeq lists it as uncharacterized. The record is from RefSeq and is a predicted model, not a curated record. The transcript has 3 exons. Lineage: Eukaryota; Metazoa; Mollusca; Gastropoda; Patellidae.
ACCCUGUGUAGCGAGUGAAUCACACAUUAUAAACGCUACUAAAUAUCUAUUUUGUUUUCCAGUGUUAAACCAAAAGAAGUCCUGAGUCGACAAAGAUAGACGAACCCUCUUUUACAAAUAUGGUAACACCCGAAAAAGAAAACUUGUUUCCACCCGUGAGGAACAAUACAGAUAAAGACGGCCAAAAUGCACAG